GACGAACGCUGGCGGCGCGCUUAACACAUGCAAGUCGAACGGAAAGGCCUUCUUUCCCUUGUGGACUCCGGGUACUCGAGUGGCGAACGGGUGAGUGACACGUGACUUAUCUUCUCCCAACUUGGGUAUAAGCUUGGGAAACUAGGUCUAAUUCUCUCCUGCACCGCAGGGUGGUGUCUGAAGUGGAGACCGUUUUUCUAGUGGUCGGGGAUUGGCUGCCGGGUUAUCAGCUUGUUGGUGGGGUAAUGGUUUACCAAGGGGGGGACGGGGAGCCUGCCUGGGGGGGUGGGCCGGCAAAGUUGGACGGGGAUACGGCCCAGACUCCUACGGGGGGCAGCCUUGGGGAAUAUUGAGCGAUGGGCGGAAGCCUGGUGGAGGGAGGCCGCGGGGGGGAUGACGGCCUUCGGGUUGUAAACUCCUUUCGACCGCGAGGAAGCCACCUGGUUGGAAGGGUGGUGACGGUAGUGGUAGAAGAAGCACCGGCUAACUACGUG
Molecule: ribosomal RNA, 494 nt
Filed under: uncultured bacterium
Lineage: Bacteria
Description: partial 16S ribosomal RNA
Rfam family: Bacterial small subunit ribosomal RNA
Source: RNAcentral